UCGCGGUAACUCUGACCGUGAUAAUGUAGCGAAAUCAAUCGUCGUUUAAUUGACGACCAGUAUGAAUGGUUAAACGAAUUUUCCACUGUCUCGAAGGUAAAUCCGCUGAAAUUGUAAUAAUAGUGAAGAUACUAUUAUUAAACUGUAAGACGAAAAGACCCUAUAGAGCUUGACUAUAAUCUUAUUGAAUAAAUUUAUAAAAAUAAAAGUAAAAUAAGACGGGUAGUUUGGUUGGGGCGACCGUCUUCUAAAAAUAACGAAGACAAACAAAGAUAAAUAAAUUUAACUGUUUAAUUAAUGAAUUUAACAAAUACAAGCGUAGGUAAAAUGACCCGUUUAUUUUUAAAAACUAAAAUAACGAUCAAUAAAUAAAAGCUACCUUAGGGAUAACAGCGUAAUCUUAUUUAAGAGUCCUUAUCGACAAUAAGGUUUGCGACCUCGAUGUUGAAUUAUGAUAACCUGAAGGUGUAGCAGCU
Molecule: ribosomal RNA, 476 nt
Filed under: Varitentacula yantaiensis
Lineage: Eukaryota; Metazoa; Cnidaria; Hydrozoa; Trachymedusae; Halicreatidae
Description: partial 16S ribosomal RNA
Rfam family: Bacterial large subunit ribosomal RNA
Source: RNAcentral